AGGACGAACGCUGGCGGCGUGCUUAACACAUGCAAGUCACGGGGGCUCGCAAGAGCAACCGGCGAACGGGUGCGUAACACGUGAGCAACCUACCGAUUUGUGGGGGAUAGCCGGCCUAACGGCCGGGUAAUACCGCAUACGCUUUCCGGGUCUCCUGACCUGGGAAGGAAACCUCCGGGGCAAAUCGAGGGGCUCGCGGCCUAUCAGCUAGUUGGCGAGGUCACGGCUCACCAAGGCGACGACGGGUAGC
RNAcentral lists this ribosomal RNA (250 nucleotides) under uncultured soil bacterium. Its description in RNAcentral is "partial 16S ribosomal RNA". It matches the Rfam family "Bacterial small subunit ribosomal RNA", at positions 26 to 287 of the family's 1533-position model. The record is from RNAcentral.